AGCAGCCGCGGUAAUUCCAGCUCCAAUAGCGUAUAUUAAAGUUGUUGCAGUUAAAAAGCUCGUAGUUGAAUUUCGGGGUCAGUAGAUUGGUCGUGCCACGGGUAUGUACUGGUCUCACUGAUUCCUCCUUCCUGAUGAACCGUAAUGCCAUUAAUUUGGUGUUGCCGGGAAACUGGACUGUUACUUUGAAAAAUUAGAGUGUUUAAAGCAGGCUAACGCUUGAAUACAUUAGCAUGGAAUAAUGAAAUAGGACGUUCGAUCUUAUUUUGUUGGUUUCUAGGAUUGACGUAAUGAUUAAUAGGGAUAGUUGGGGGCAUUAGUAUUCAAUUGUCAGAGGUGAAAUUCUUGGAUUUAUUGAAGACUAACUACUGCGAAAGCAUUUGCCAAGGAUGUUUUCAUUAAUCAAGAACGAAAGUUAGGGGAUCGAAGACGAUCAGAUACCGUCGUAGUCUUAACCAUAAACUAUGCCGACUAGGGAUCGGAUGAUGUUAAUUUUUAAUGUACUCAUUCGGCGCCUUAC
RNAcentral lists this ribosomal RNA (520 nucleotides) under uncultured Glomeromycotina. Its description in RNAcentral is "SSU rRNA". It matches the Rfam family "Eukaryotic small subunit ribosomal RNA", at positions 569 to 1091 of the family's 1831-position model. The record is from RNAcentral. Lineage: Eukaryota; Fungi; Glomeromycota.